Molecule: transfer RNA, 82 nt
Filed under: Laetiporus sulphureus 93-53
Lineage: Eukaryota; Fungi; Basidiomycota; Agaricomycetes; Polyporales; Laetiporaceae
Description: tRNA-Ala
Rfam family: tRNA
About the family: Transfer RNA (tRNA) molecules are approximately 80 nucleotides in length. Their secondary structure includes four short double-helical elements and three loops (D, anti-codon, and T loops).
Source: RNAcentral
GGGCAUGUGGUGUAGUUGGUUAUCACGCUCGCUUAGCACGCGCGAUUGCGAGAGGGGUCCGGUUCGAUCCCGGACAUGUCCA